RNAcentral lists this unclassified non-coding RNA (777 nucleotides) under Stegodyphus dumicola. Its description in RNAcentral is "zinc finger protein 227-like, transcript variant X2". The record is from RNAcentral. Lineage: Eukaryota; Metazoa; Arthropoda; Arachnida; Araneae; Eresidae.
AGGGCCUUAACUUCCAUAUAAGCUCGCAAUCCGUAGGCAAUCAAAAAUAAAAAUUUGAUUAACGGAAUGACAUCGGUGCAAUUUAAUGCAGAAACUCCGGAGAGAAAACAGUAGCUAACUGACAGGUAUCGCCAUCAAAUGCCUAUGCAUCUUAUCCCAUGUCAUUGUGAAGUGAUAUCUGUGACAUCUGUCAAAGUGGUCUUUUGUCACAUCUGCCAUUACCGUUUGAGGUGCUAUUGCAUAUAAUACCCAGUCACCAUUAAUCAUCCUGUGCAUCACCCUGAGUGAGCAACUUCACAUGGAUGACCUACUGUGGUCUUUUGUAAUAUCCAUACUGCUAGGCUUGCCAGGUGCUUGUAUGCAAUAGACAUCACUUCGGACUUUCUUCUCAGCAUAGCCAUCCUGAUUGCCUGAUCUCUGUCGCAUUUUCUUCAUAUGGGACAUGGUCAGUCACUGCAAAAUAUGUCUGACCUAGCUGUGCAGUUAUAACGAAUUUGGUGAGACAUCCCUCAGGACAGCAUUAGAUGUUCAUAUGAAACUGUGCCAGAUAACAUCAGUGCUUGCACAGCCCUAUGAAAUAUUAAUCUGUAACAGUUGAAAUGAUCUUACUGCAACGAAUGAUGUUACUGACUUGUUAGAUUUUUACAUUUAAUAAAGCAGUAUUUUAGUGACUAAAAAAAAAUAAUUUUUGAGAACAUGGUUAGAUGUUCUACCUUCUAAAAUGUAUAUUUUGAUGUUUGCUUAUACCAGAUGAAUAAAAACAUUAAAUCAAAUGAA